AGUGAACGCUGGCGGUAGGCCUAACACAUGCAAGUCGAACGGCAGCACAGUAAGAGCUUGCUCUUACGGGUGGCGCGUGGCGGACGGGUGAGGAAUACACCGGAAUCCACUUUUUCGUGGGGGAUAACGUAGGGAAAGUUAUGCUAAUACCGCAUUAGACCUACGGGGGACAGCAGGGGAUCUUCGGACUUUGCGCGAUUGAAUGAGGCGAUGUCGGAUUAGCUAGUUGGCGGGGUAAAGGCCCACCAAGGCGACGAUCCGUAGCUGGUCUGAGAGGAUGAUCAGCCACACUGGAACUGAGACACGGUCCAGACUCCUACGGGAGGCAGCAGUGGGGAAUAUUGGACAAUGGGCGCAAGCCGGAUCCAGCCAUACCGCGUGGGUGAAGAAGGCCUUCGGGUUGGAAAGCCCUUUUGUUGGGAAAGAAAAGCAGCAGGUUAAUACCCCGCUGUUCUGACGGUACCCAAAGAAUAAGCACCGGCUAACUUCGUG
RNAcentral lists this ribosomal RNA (492 nucleotides) under uncultured bacterium. RNAcentral's name for it is "partial 16S ribosomal RNA". It matches the Rfam family "Bacterial small subunit ribosomal RNA", at positions 29 to 507 of the family's 1533-position model. The record is from RNAcentral.